This 467-nucleotide ribosomal RNA is filed under the name uncultured bacterium. RNAcentral describes it as "partial 16S ribosomal RNA". It matches the Rfam family "Bacterial small subunit ribosomal RNA", at positions 29 to 507 of the family's 1533-position model. The record is from RNAcentral.
ACGAACGCUGGCGGCGUGCUUAACACAUGCCAGUCGAACGGAAAGGCCCUGCUUUUGUGGGGUGCUCGAGUGGCGAACGGGUGAGUAACACGUGAGUAACCUGCCCUUGACUUUGGGAUAACUUCAGGAAACUGGGGCUAAUACCGGAUAGGAGCUCCUGCUGCAUGGUGGGGGUUGGAAAGUUUCGGCUGUUGGGGAUGGACUCGCGGCUUAUCAGCUUGUUGGUGGGGUAGUGGCUUACCAAGGCUUUGACGGGUAGCCGGCCUGAGAGGGUGACCGGCCACAUUGGGACUGAGAUACGGCCCAGACUCCUACGGGAGGCAGCAGUGGGGAAUAUUGCACAAUGGGCGGAAGCCUGAUGCAGCAACGCCGCGUGCGGGAUGACGGCCUUCGGGUUGUAAACCGCUUUCGCCUGUGACGAAGCGUGAGUGACGGUAAUGGGUAAAGAAGCACCGGCUAACUACGUG